ACAGCAGUAGCCGCGGUAAUACAGAGGGUGCGAGCGUUAAUCGGAUUUACUGGGCGUAAAGCGUGCGUAGGCGGCUAAUUGAGUCGGAUGUGAAAUCCCCGAGCUUAACUUGGGAAUUGCAUUCGAUACUGGUUAGCUAGAGUGUGGGAGAGGAUGGUAGAAUUCCAGGUGUAGCGGUGAAAUGCGUAGAGAUCUGGAGGAAUACCGAUGGCGAAGGCAGCCAUCUGGCCUAACACUGACGCUGAGGUACGAAAGCAUGGGGAGCAAACAGGAUUAGAUACCCGGGUAGUCCCUGUCUCUUAUAA
This 305-nucleotide ribosomal RNA is filed under the name uncultured bacterium. RNAcentral describes it as "partial 16S ribosomal RNA". It matches the Rfam family "Bacterial small subunit ribosomal RNA", at positions 508 to 809 of the family's 1533-position model. The record is from RNAcentral.